This 405-nucleotide ribosomal RNA is filed under the name uncultured Gammaproteobacteria bacterium. RNAcentral describes it as "bacterial SSU rRNA". It matches the Rfam family "Bacterial small subunit ribosomal RNA", at positions 9 to 419 of the family's 1533-position model. Lineage: Bacteria; Pseudomonadati; Pseudomonadota; Gammaproteobacteria. The record is from RNAcentral.
GAGUUUGAUCGUGGCUCAGAUUGAACGCUGGCGGCAGGCCUAACACAUGCAAGUCGAGCGGCAGCGCGGGGCAACCUGGCGGCGAGCGGCGGACGGGUGAGUAACGCGUAGGAAUCUACCCAGUAGCGGGGGAUAGCCCGGGGAAACUCGGAUUAAUACCGCAUACGCCCUAAGGGGGAAAGCAGGGGAUCUUCGGACCUUGCACUAUUGGCAGAGCCUGCGUUGGAUUAGCUAGUUGGUAGGUAAAGGCCUACCAAGGCAACGAUCCAUAACUGGUCUGAGAGGAUGAUCAGUCACACCGGAACUGAGACACGGUCCGGACUCCUACGGGAGGCAGCAGUGGGGAAUAUUGGACAAUGGGGGCAACCCUGAUCCAGCCAUGCCGCGUGUGUGAAGAAGGCCUUC